CAGGACGGAAGGUUGUUCACUCAUGGGCACACCCCACCUCCGCAAGGGAGAUUGUUCAUGCAUGUGUCCUGCCCACCUCAGCAUGGGAGGGUGUUUACACAUGCGCACAGCCCGCCCUUGGUGUGGGAGGAGGUUACCCAUGCGGAGCGCCACCCUUCAAUGAGGGAAUAGUGAUGCCCCUGUUAAAUGUGAUGUUUCAUGAAUGGUUCUUUUCACUUUCACAGCUGAAGUAGCAGAUAUAAGGGUUAGGGUUAGCAUUACCGUUAACGGUUAAGGUAAGAGUUUGGUCAUGCUUCCACACCCCCUCGUCACCAGAGUGUAUUCACACAAUAGCACCGCAGGAGAAUAUGCAUGCAUGUGCCCCGCCCUCUUCAGCCCGGGAGGGUGUCACACAUGUGCCCUGUCCCCUUCCGCUUGGAAGUGCGUUCACGCAUUCACACAUUUGCACAGCGCCCUCCCCCGCAUGGUGAGGGAGGGCGUUGGCACACGUGCCCUUGGCGUGGGAGGUGGUUCACACAUGCUCCCCACCCACUCGGCGAGGGAGGGUGUCACCCAUGAACAGCACCACCCCUGGGAGAGGGAGUAGUGUUGCCACUGUUAAAUGUGACAUUUCAUGAGUGAUUCUUUUCAUUUUCACAGCUGAAGAAGCAUGCAUCACUUAAGGCAAGGGUUAGGGUUAGCAUUCCAUUUAGGGUUUAGGGUAAAGGUUGGGUCAUGCUUGCUCCCCCUCUCUGCACGAGAGGUGUUUCACUCAUGCUCCCUGCCCGCUCCGCACGUAAGGGUGUUCACCGAUGCGCAUAGCCCUCCCUGGGGGUGGAAGGGUGUUCUCACGCAUAACCCUUCCCGGCGACGGAGGGCGUUUGCGGAUGAACCCUGCCCCACUAGCGCGGGAGUUUGUUCACGUGUGUGUAAGGUCCCCCCUCCUGGCGGUAGGGCGUUCACCCAUGUGCACCCCCCUUCCUCCCUCCCCCCUUUUGGCAUGGGAAGGUGUUGACCUAUGUGCCUUGACAGGUCAGCAUGGGAGAAUAUUAACGCAUGGACCCCGCCACCCUUGGGUGCAGGAGGGUGUUCGCGCAUGCGCCCAAUCCCCUUCUGCAUAAGAGGUGGUUCCCGAAUACGCUCCCCAACCUUCCGGAGUGGGUGGGUGUCCAUGCACGUGGACAAAUCCCCCUAGGUGAGGGAAGGCAUUCGCCAUGCGCACAGCCCCUCCUUGGUGUGGAAGGGUGUUCUCACUUACACAAAACCUCCCUCGCCAAGGCCUUUCAUGCCUAUGUCCCGCCCUCUUCAGCACAUGAGGUGGUUCACGCAUCUGUUCCGCCCCUCAUGGUGCAGGAGGGUGUUCAUGCACGCGCACAGCCCCAGGUCAGUGAGGGACGGUAUUCACGCAUGCACACAGCAGCCCCUCCAUGAGGGAGGGCGUUCACGUAUGUGCCAUGCAUCCCGCGGCAAGGGAGAUGGUUCAAGCGUGUGCCCCAUCCCCACUUUGGUAUGGCAGUGUGUUGACCUAUGCACUCCGCCCCCUCAUCGUUGGAGGGUGUUCAUAGAUGUGCACAGCCCCCCUCAUGGCCCAAGUGUGUUCAUGCUUGGGAACACCCCCGGCUAAGGGAGGGAUGGUGUUGGCGCAUGGGCCCUGCGCCAUACCGUGGGGGCCUGUUCAUACAUGUGCACAGCCCUUCCAACUGGAGGAAGUGUGUUCACGCAUGCACACAACUCCUGCUCCCCGAAGUAGGACGUUUCACGUGCACACAACCCCCCUUGGCGAGGGAGGUCAUUCAUGCAUGCUCCCUGCCCCCUACCGCAGGAGGCUGUACACGCAUGCCCAACGGCCCCCUCUACUGGCAGGUGUCAUGCAUGCGCACAGCCCCCUUCAAUGAUGAAGUCAUUUGCACAUGCGCCCCAAUCCCCUGGGAAUAGAAGGGUGUGCAGGCAUGCGCACAACCCCCACCUCAGUAAGGGAGGUUGGUUGCGCAUGCGCCCUGCCCCACUUAGCAAAGGAGGUGGUCCAGGCUUCCCUUUGGCCCCCUGUCAACAUGUGAGUGGGUCACCCAUGCACAGUGCCACCCCUCAGGGAGGAAGUAGUGAUGUCACUAUUAAAUGUGAUGUUUCAUGAAUGGUUCUUUUCACUUUCACAGCUGGGGUAUACGCAGGAAAUAGGAGAGGUUGAAAGCAAGGGAAAAACAUCAGAAAGCGUAUGGUCUCAUGAGGCUUGCGUCUUCCCUCUACCUCUGUAGUCCAAGUUCAUGGAUGGCACUGGAAAUACAUCCUUAGCAUGCGCAUCAUAACCUCCAGGUGAGGUUCAGGCUUGUUUUGGGGGAGAAAUCCUGUCACAAAUUCGGAGGAACAAGAGUCGCAUUCAGAUGGGAAGUCAAGACACCAAAUGUUGACUCUCAGGACCUUCUAGAAGAAUCAGCUGGGACCCACUCUCUGAGUCCUGCUGGAACCAGAGCCAGAGGUAAAAACACAAUGUGCCGUCCACAUCAUACAUGCUUUUAUUAAUUUUCAGUGGGUAUUUUCCUCCAAACAAUGUUGUAGUCACUGAAAACAUCUGAAAACCUGACAGGUACCUUGUGUCAGGCACCUCCCAUUAUUUGAAUGUUCAAUAUUGUUCCUGCGACAGAAUUUGUUACAGUUAUCCUUUCUUGUCUUCGUUGGAAGGAAUCUCAUCAAUAAUAUCUUAAAAACAUACUAGUUGCCUUAUCUCUUUUUCAGUUGAGAUUUAGCAUGUUUUCUAAUUUCUCAUGAACUCGUGAAAAACUGAAAUACUUUUAAAUUGGUUGCAGUUUUUACUAAAAGCUGAUUCACGGCAUCCCUCUGAGACUGCUGCUGGUCCAGACACUAACUAUAAAUAGCAAACGGAGGGUUACUAGAAGGGAGGUGGGAAGGGGGUGUGUUAAAUGAGUGAUGGGCUUGGUGAGGAACACUGGGUGUUGUAUGUAAGUGAUGGAUGACUACAUU
Long non-coding RNA from Neofelis nebulosa (Clouded leopard), 2955 nucleotides. RefSeq lists it as uncharacterized. The record is from RefSeq and is a predicted model, not a curated record. NCBI's taxonomy places the organism in Eukaryota, Metazoa, Chordata, Mammalia, Carnivora, Felidae. The transcript has 3 exons.